GAUGAACGCUGGCGGCGUGCCUAAUACAUGCAAGUCGAGCGAACGGACGAGAAGCUUGCUUCUCUGAUGUUAGCGGCGGACGGGUGAGUAACACGUGGAUAACCUACCUAUAAGACUGGGAUAACUUCGGGAAACCGGAGCUAAUACCGGAUAAUAUUUUGAACCGCAUGGUUCAAAAGUGAAAGACGGUCUUGCUGUCACUUAUAGAUGGAUCCGCGCUGCAUUAGCUAGUUGGUAAGGUAACGGCUUACCAAGGCAACGAUGCAUAGCCGACCUGAGAGGGUGAUCGGCCACACUGGAACUGAGACACGGUCCAGACUCCUACGGGAGGCAGCAGUAGGGAAUCUUCCGCAAUGGGCGAAAGCCUGACGGAGCAACGCCGCGUGAGUGAUGAANGUCUUCGGAUCGUAAAACUCUGUUAUUAGGGAAGAACAUAUGUGUAAGUAACUGUGCACAUCUUGACGGUACCUAAUCAGAAAGCCACGGCUAACUACGUGCCAGCAGCCGCGGUAAUACGUAGGUGGCAAGCGUUAUCCGGAAUUAUUGGGCGUAAAGCGCGCGUAGGCGGUUUUUUAAGUCUGAUGUGAAAGCCCACGGCUCAACCGUGGAGGGUCAUUGGAAACUGGAAAACUUGAGUGCAGAAGAGGAAAGUGGAAUUCCAUGUGUAGCGGUGAAAUGCGCAGAGAUAUGGAGGAACACCAGUGGCGAAGGCGACUUUCUGGUCUGUAACUGACGCUGAUGUGCGAAAGCGUGGGGAUCAAACAGGAUUAGAUACCCUGGUAGUCCACGCCGUAAACGAUGAGUGCUAAGUGUUAGGGGGUUUCCGCCCCUUAGUGCUGCAGCUAACGCAUUAAGCACUCCGCCUGGGGAGUACGACCGCAAGGUUGAAACUCAAAGGAAUUGACGGGGACCCGCACAAGCGGUGGAGCAUGUGGUUUAAUUCGAAGCAACGCGAAGAACCUUACCAAAUCUUGACAUCCUUUGACAACUCUAGAGAUAGAGCUUUCCCCUUCGGGGACAAAGUGACAGGUGGUGCAUGGUUGUCGUCAGCUCGUGUCGUGAGAUGUUGGGUUAAGUCCCGCAACGAGCGCAACCCUUAAGCUUAGUUGCCAUCAUUAAGUUGGGCACUCUAAGUUGACUGCCGGUGACAAACCGGAGGAAGGUGGGGAUGACGUCAAAUCAUCAUGCCCCUUAUGAUUUGGGCUACACACGUGCUACAAUGGACAAUACAAAGGGCAGCGAAACCGCGAGGUCAAGCAAAUCCCAUAAAGUUGUUCUCAGUUCGGAUUGUAGUCUGCAACUCGACUACAUGAAGCUGGAAUCGCUAGUAAUCGUAGAUCAGCAUGCUACGGUGAAUACGUUCCCGGGUCUUGUACACACCGCCCGUCACACCACGAGAGUUUGUAACACCCGAAGCCGGUGGAGUAACCUUUUAGGAGCUAGCCGUCGAAGGUGGGACAAAUGAUUGGGGUGAAGUCGUAACAAGGUAGCCGUAUCGGAAGG
This 1503-nucleotide ribosomal RNA is filed under the name uncultured bacterium. Its description in RNAcentral is "16S ribosomal RNA". It matches the Rfam family "Bacterial small subunit ribosomal RNA". The record is from RNAcentral.